Molecule: ribosomal RNA, 492 nt
Filed under: uncultured bacterium
Lineage: Bacteria
Description: partial 16S ribosomal RNA
Rfam family: Bacterial small subunit ribosomal RNA
Source: RNAcentral
AGUGAACGCUGGCGGUAGGCCUAACACAUGCAAGUCGAACGGCAGCACAGUAAGAGCUUGCUCUUACGGGUGGCGAGUGGCGGACGGGUGAGGAAUACAUCGGAAUCUACUUUUUCGUGGGGGAUAACGUAGGGAAACUUACGCUAGUACCGCAUACGACCUACGGGUGAAAGCAAGGGAUCUUCGGACCUUGCGCGAUUGAAUGAGCCGAUGUCGGAUUAGCUAGUUGGCGGGGUAAAGGCCCACCAAGGCGACGAUCCGUAGCUGGUCUGAGAGGAUGAUCAGCCACACUGGAACUGAGACACGGUCCAGACUCCUACGGGAGGCAGCAGUGGGGAAUAUUGGACAAUGGGCGCAAGCCUGAUCCAGCCAUACCGCGUGGGUGAAGAAGGCCUUCGGGUUGUAAAGCCCUUUUGUUGGGAAAGAAAAGCAGCAGGUUAAUACCCCGCUGUUCUGACUGUACCCAAAGAAUAAGCACCGGCUAACUUCGUG